RNAcentral lists this unclassified non-coding RNA (184 nucleotides) under uncultured Chaetothyriales. Its description in RNAcentral is "sequence contains ITS1". Lineage: Eukaryota; Fungi; Ascomycota; Eurotiomycetes; Chaetothyriales. The record is from RNAcentral.
CUGAGAUGGGGUUCUUCUGAGCCCGGCCUCCAACCCUUUGCUUAAACCAACUUGUUGCUUUGGCAGGCCCGUCCUUGCGGACCGCUGGGGUUGUUUAAUCACCUCUGGCCAGUGCCUGCCAGUAGCCAAUUUAAAUUCUUUUUUAACCAUGUUGUCUGAAAAAAACAAUUAAGAAAUUCAAUUA